CCUCGCCUGCUCAUUAUCAGUGUCGUGUUGUCUGCUGCCCAUCACCCCUCCACAUAACUCAUAACUCACAACAAACUGUGAGCUCCUGACAGCUGAAAUCAGGCACAGCCCCUCCAGUGCCCAACCUGGCAUACAGAGAGGGUUUAUGCCAUCAUUGGAAGAGGGAACAAAUGAACAAAGAAUCAGCAAACAGGCUCUGGACCUAGAGGUAGGCAAUUCAUGAGCUACAUCCCCUGCUGAGAUGUUUACAUGGCCAAAGAGAGCAGCAGAGGCUCCUGGGCUUGAAGGGAGGAAGCAGUCUGCUGAGACGCCAUUCCCAUCAGUGUUUUUGGGUCAGCGCUGCUGACAUGCCAACCCCGCAAAUGAGGUUUCCCAAACUGAUAACAUAAAAGAAACUGUGUCCUACUGAUACUUGGUCUAUAAUUAGGAAGAUUCUCCAAAGUCCUAAGGCACGCUUUGGAAUAUUAACCCCUGUUGAUGUAAAGUCCUGGGAUCCUGAGUUCACAAGGUCCUUGAGGAAUUGCCACACUGUCUUCCACAAUGGCUGAACUAAUUUACACUCCCGCCAGCAGUGUAAAAGUGUUCCGAUUGCUCCACAUCCUCUCCAGCAUCUGUUGUCUCCAGAUUUUUAAUGAUCACCAUUCUAACUGGCAUGAGAUGGUAUCUCAAUGUAGUUUUGAUUUGCAUUUCUUGGAGUUGCAUCUUAUGGA
Molecule: long non-coding RNA, 710 nt
Organism: Callithrix jacchus (white-tufted-ear marmoset)
Lineage: Eukaryota; Metazoa; Chordata; Mammalia; Primates; Cebidae
Source: RefSeq, a predicted model, not a curated record